RNAcentral lists this ribosomal RNA (339 nucleotides) under Oenococcus oeni. RNAcentral describes it as "bacterial SSU rRNA". It matches the Rfam family "Bacterial small subunit ribosomal RNA", at positions 1201 to 1533 of the family's 1533-position model. Lineage: Bacteria; Bacillati; Bacillota; Bacilli; Lactobacillales; Lactobacillaceae. The record is from RNAcentral.
CUUAUGACCUGGGCAACACACGUGCUACAAUGGGAAGUACAACGAGUCGCAAACCGGCGACGGUAAGCUAAUCUCUUAAAACUUCUCUCAGUUCGGACUGGAGUCUGCAACUCGACUCCACGAAGGCGGAAUCGCUAGUAAUCGCGAAUCAGCAUGUCGCGGUGAAUACGUUCCCGGGUCUUGUACACACCGCCCGUCAAAUCAUGGGAGUCGGAAGUACCCAAAGUCGCUUGGCUAACUUUUAGAGGCCGGUGCCUAAGGUAAAAUCGAUGACUGGGAUUAAGUCGUAACAAGGUAGCCGUAGGAGAACCUGCGGCUGGAUCACCUCCUUUCUAAGGA